This 731-nucleotide ribosomal RNA is filed under the name uncultured bacterium. RNAcentral's name for it is "bacterial SSU rRNA". It matches the Rfam family "Bacterial small subunit ribosomal RNA", at positions 768 to 1504 of the family's 1533-position model. The record is from RNAcentral.
AUUAACAGGAUUAGAUACCCUGGUAGUCCACGCCCUAAACGAUGUCAACUAGCUGUUGGGGCCUUCGGGCCUUGGUAGCGCAGCUAACGCGUGAAGUUGACCGCCUGGGGAGUACGGUCGCAAGAUUAAAACUCAAAGGAAUUGACGGGGACCCGCACAAGCGGUGGAUGAUGUGGAUUAAUUCGAUGCAACGCGAAAAACCUUACCUACCCUUGACAUGUCUGGAAUGCCGAAGAGAUUUGGCAGUGCUCGCAAGAGAACCGGAACACAGGUGCUGCAUGGCUGUCGUCAGCUCGUGUCGUGAGAUGUUGGGUUAAGUCCCGCAACGAGCGCAACCCUUGUCAUUAGUUGCUACGAAAGGGCACUCUAAUGAGACUGCCGGUGACAAACCGGAGGAAGGUGGGGAUGACGUCAAGUCCUCAUGGCCCUUAUGGGUAGGGCUUCACACGUCAUACAAUGGUCGGGACAGAGGGUCGCCAACCCGCGAGGGGGAGCCAAUCCCAGAAACCCGAUCGUAGUCCGGAUCGCAGUCUGCAACUCGACUGCGUGAAGUCGGAAUCGCUAGUAAUCGCGGAUCAGCAUGUCGCGGUGAAUACGUUCCCGGGUCUUGUACACACCGCCCGUCACACCAUGGGAGUGGGUUUUACCAGAAGUAGUUAGCCUAACCGCAAGGGGGGCGAUUACCACGGUAGGAUUCAUGACUGGGGUGAAGUCGUAACAAGGUAGCCAAU